RNAcentral lists this ribosomal RNA (436 nucleotides) under uncultured bacterium. RNAcentral describes it as "bacterial SSU rRNA". It matches the Rfam family "Bacterial small subunit ribosomal RNA", at positions 339 to 791 of the family's 1533-position model. The record is from RNAcentral.
AUACGGAAGGCAGCAGUAGGGAAUAUUGCUUAAUGGGCGCAAGCCUGAAGCAGCAACGCCGCGUGUGCGAUGAAGGCCUUCGGGUUGUAAAGCACUUUUUGCUGGGAAGAGGAAGGACGGUACCAGCAGAAUAAGCCUCGGCUAACUACGUGCCAGCAGCCGCGGUAAAACGUAGGAGGCGAGCGUUAUCCGGAUUUACUGGGUGUAAAGCGCGUGCAGGCGGUUGGCUAAGUUGGGUGUGAAAGCUCCUGGCUCAACUGGGAGAGGUCGCUCAAGACUGGCCGACUGGAGAGCAGUAGGGGAAGGUGGAAUUCCGGGUGUAGUGGUGAAAUGCGUAGAUAUCCGGAGGAACACCAGUGGCGAAGGCGGCCUUCUGGACUGCAUCUGACGCUCAGACGCGAAAGCUAGGGUAGCAAACGGGAUUAGAUACCCCGGU